Molecule: transfer RNA, 63 nt
Filed under: Coleoptera sp. ACP-2013
Lineage: Eukaryota; Metazoa; Arthropoda; Insecta; Coleoptera
Description: tRNA-Leu
Source: RNAcentral
UUCUAAUAUGGCAGAUUAGUGCAUUGGAUUUAAGCUCCAAAAAAAAGUUUACACUUUUUUAGA